This 405-nucleotide ribosomal RNA is filed under the name Triticum aestivum (bread wheat). Its description in RNAcentral is "partial small subunit ribosomal RNA". Lineage: Eukaryota; Viridiplantae; Streptophyta; Magnoliopsida; Poales; Poaceae. The record is from RNAcentral.
AUGGAAAGACCAGGUGGAUCCACACCUUUGGCAGUAUGGAGUAAUCUUUGGAAAUUAUCUGUUCCACGUAAAGUUCAAAUUUUCUGUUGGAGAGUGUUACGAGGGAUCGUCCCGCUAAGAGCCAUCCUAACUAAUAGGCACGUUGGCUCCAACGGCGCCUGUCCUAUCUGCCACCAGGACGCGGAGGACAUCCGACAUCUCUUGUUCCAGUGCGUGCAUGCGAGGUACCUGUGGACCAGACUUGGUAUGAUGGAUCUCAUUGACCAUUCACUGUUGGUGGAUAGAUCCGGUUCAGUUAUUUUUGAGCAUUUACUUUCACUGCCGGAGAUCCAUUUGCUUAUACACCCAAAUAUAAAUUUUAAAGAAGCUCUUGCAGUGGGAGGCUGGUAUCUUUGGUGGAUUCGG